Molecule: ribosomal RNA, 494 nt
Filed under: uncultured bacterium
Lineage: Bacteria
Description: partial 16S ribosomal RNA
Rfam family: Bacterial small subunit ribosomal RNA
Source: RNAcentral
GAUGAACGUUGGCGGCGUGCCUUAGGCAUGCAAGUCGAGCGAAUGUAAUUGGGAGCUUGCUUCUGAUUACAUUUGCGGCGAACGGGUGCGUAAUAAGUAGAUUAUCUGCCUUAGAGUUCGGGAUAGCCCUGGGAAACUGGGAGUAAUACCGGAGAUGUCGUAAGACCAAAGAAGCAAUUCGCUCUAAGAUGAGUCUGCUCACUAUCAGCUUGUUGGUGGGGUAAUGGCCUACCAAGGCUUAGACGGUUAGCUGGUCUGAGAGGAUGAUCAGCCACAUGGGAACUGAGACACGGUCCAGACUCCUACGGGAGGCAGCAGUGGGGAAUAUUGGACAAUGGGCGAAAGCCUGAUCCAGCCAUGCCGCGUGUGUGAAGAAGGUCUUCGGAUUGUAAAGCACUUUAAGUUGGGAGGAAGGGUUGUAAGCCAAUAUCUUGCAGCUUUGACGUUACCAACAGAAUAAGCACCGGCUAACUCUGUGCCAGCCGCCGCAGUAA